CCUACGGGUGGCAGCAGUGAGGAAUAUUGGUCAAUGGACGCAAGUCUGAACCAGCCAAGUAGCGUGCAGGAUGACGGCCCUCCGGGUUGUAAACUGCUUUUAGUUGGGAAUAAAAGGGGGCUCGUGAGACCCGUAUUGUAUGUACCAUCAGAAAAAGGACCGGCUAAUUCCGUGCAAGCAGCCGCGGUAAUACGGAGGGUCAGGGCGUUAUCCGGAGUUAUUGGGUUUAAAGGUAGCGUAGGCCGGCUUUUAAGUCAGCUGUGAAAGUCAGCGGCUCAACCGUGGAAUUGCGGUUGAAACUGGAUGCCUAGAGUGCACACAGGGAUGCCGGAAUUCAUGGUGUAGCGGGGAAAUGCUUAGAUAUCAUGAAGAACUCCGAUCGCGAAGGCAAGUGUCCGGGGUGCAACUGACGCUGAGGCUCGAAAGUGCGGGUAUCAAACAGGAUUAGAUACCCCGGUAGUC
RNAcentral lists this ribosomal RNA (462 nucleotides) under uncultured bacterium. RNAcentral describes it as "partial 16S ribosomal RNA". It matches the Rfam family "Bacterial small subunit ribosomal RNA", at positions 338 to 795 of the family's 1533-position model. The record is from RNAcentral.